ACUAGUUCGGUGCGGGCGGAGAAAAUCCGUACCAAAUCGAGUUAAACUCCGAAUACCUGUAGCGUCAUUAUCUGGCAGUGAGAGUGCGAGAGAUAAGUUCCGUACUCAAGAGGGAAACAGCCCAGACUACCGACUAAGGUCCCAAAAUUCAUGCUAAGUGAUUAAGGAGGUGGAGUUGCAUAGACAACUAGGAUGUUGGCUUAGAAGCAGCCACCAUUCAAAGAAAGCGUAAUAGCUCACUAGUCAAGCGACUCUGCGCCGAAAACGUAUGGGGCUAAGCAUGAUACCGAAAUCGUAGGAUCAGAGUAAUCUGAUCGGUAGGGGAGCGUUCUGUUGUAGGGCGAAGUGCGACCGGAAGGACGCAUGGACGAAGCAGAAGUGAGACUGUCGGCUUAAGUAGCGAAAACAUUGGUGAGAAUCCAAUGCACCGAAAGACUAAGGGUUCCACGCAAGGUUCGUCCACGUGGGGUUAGCCGGGAGCUAAGAUGAGGCCGAGAGGCGUAAUCGAUGCACAACGGG
RNAcentral lists this ribosomal RNA (519 nucleotides) under uncultured bacterium. RNAcentral describes it as "bacterial LSU rRNA". It matches the Rfam family "Bacterial large subunit ribosomal RNA", at positions 909 to 1429 of the family's 2925-position model. The record is from RNAcentral.